This 73-nucleotide transfer RNA is filed under the name Arthothelium ruanum. Its description in RNAcentral is "tRNA-Lys". It matches the Rfam family "tRNA". Rfam says of the family: Transfer RNA (tRNA) molecules are approximately 80 nucleotides in length. Their secondary structure includes four short double-helical elements and three loops (D, anti-codon, and T loops). The record is from RNAcentral. Lineage: Eukaryota; Fungi; Ascomycota; Arthoniomycetes; Arthoniales; Arthoniaceae.
GAGACCUUAAUUUAACAGGCAAAAUGUGUGACUUUUAAUCAUUAUGAUAUGAGUUCGAAUCUCAUAGGUCUUA